RNAcentral lists this unclassified non-coding RNA (273 nucleotides) under uncultured fungus. RNAcentral's name for it is "partial contains small subunit ribosomal RNA, internal transcribed spacer 1, and 5.8S ribosomal RNA". The stretch from base 1 to 73 matches the Rfam family "Eukaryotic small subunit ribosomal RNA", at positions 1759 to 1831 of the family's 1831-position model. Lineage: Eukaryota; Fungi. The record is from RNAcentral.
GCAAACUUGGUCAUUUAGAGGAAGUAAAAGUCGUAACAAGGUCUCCGUAGGUGAACCUGCGGAGGGAUCAUUUUAGAAUCCGGGUUGGCCGGCGGGCCCUCGUGCUCUGACUGGCCACAGACCCACCUUCAGCCUGUGGAAACAAGCCGUGCUUCGGCGACCCUUUCUGGGCGCCGCCUUUAUGCCGUCUGCUCUGUCUUGUCUGUUACAAAAGUAGAAAUCAAAACUUUCAACAAAGGAUCUCUUGGCUCUCGCAUCGAUGAAGAACGCAGC